UACGUAGGGUGCGAGCGUUGUCCGGAAUUAUUGGGCGUAAAGGGCUCGUAGGCGGUUUGUCGCGUCGGGAGUGAAAACCCAGGGCUUAACCCUGGGCUGGCUUCCGAUACGGGCAGACUAGAGGUAUGCAGGGGAGAACGGAAUUCCUGGUGUAGCGGUGAAAUGCGCAGAUAUCAGGAGGAAUACCGAUGGCGAAGGCAGGUCUCUGGGCUGACACUGACGCUCAUGCACGAAAGCGUGGGGAGCAAACAGG
RNAcentral lists this ribosomal RNA (253 nucleotides) under uncultured bacterium. RNAcentral describes it as "partial 16S ribosomal RNA". It matches the Rfam family "Bacterial small subunit ribosomal RNA", at positions 524 to 776 of the family's 1533-position model. The record is from RNAcentral.